RNAcentral lists this long non-coding RNA (258 nucleotides) under Brassica napus (rape). Its description in RNAcentral is "long non-coding RNA (BNAP_LNC021793)". The record is from RNAcentral. Lineage: Eukaryota; Viridiplantae; Streptophyta; Magnoliopsida; Brassicales; Brassicaceae.
UUGUGGUCCUCUGUAUCAAACCUCACUGCAGUGUAUUCCUUAUACAUAUACCGAUUUCACUUAUCUUGCCUACAAGUUACCUUAUAUAAGACUCCUUUUACAAAUCUCCUUAUGAUGCGCCUUGUACUUGUUAACUGAUAUUGACACUCUUGGCCUUGACACUAUGAACAUGUCUAUGAACCAAUAUCCCUUUCAGCUCUUACUCUCUUGAGCUGACCAAGUUGCUAACCGAAAAUUUUAUCUUUCAGCUGCACCAAU